UAAGGGGACUGAGCUGGCCUGGGGUUGGUUGCACAUUCGCUACGGCUGCACAUUCCCAUUCUCUGCUUCCAGGGCAAGGAGAGGACUGUGCAUCCUCAGUGACCGUGGUGCCUAACCCUGCUUUAGAGAAGUCUGUCCUUGCCCCCAAGCUGCUUUCCACGGAGUUCUGUUUGCACACGAGGUCGCUGUGAAGGAGUGUCCAUCAGGUCUGGACGUGCACCUGACCUCGCUGACUGAGAACGUGGUAACUAAGGCCCUGACUGCCUGGCCCUGCCUACCUCUCCUGCCUCACCAGGAGCUGCCCACACCUGUCUUUAGCCAACCAAGCUCCUAACCAUCGGGGAUCCUGGGACUCAGGCCUGCCUUUGCUGGACACUUCCCUUCGGCCCACCUGGCCACAUUCCACUCUUUCUUAAGGAUUCUGCUUAAAAGUCGUGUCCUCUAAGGCUCCCCGCUAGCCUUCCCCACCACGAUGACAUCCAGGUAAGGCGCU
RNAcentral lists this long non-coding RNA (493 nucleotides) under Rhinopithecus bieti (black snub-nosed monkey). Its description in RNAcentral is "lncRNA (ENSRBIG00000045508.1)". The record is from RNAcentral. Lineage: Eukaryota; Metazoa; Chordata; Mammalia; Primates; Cercopithecidae.